This 468-nucleotide ribosomal RNA is filed under the name uncultured bacterium. Its description in RNAcentral is "partial 16S ribosomal RNA". It matches the Rfam family "Bacterial small subunit ribosomal RNA", at positions 28 to 507 of the family's 1533-position model. The record is from RNAcentral.
GACGAACGCUGGCGGCGUGCUUAACACAUGCAAGUCGAACGGAAAGGCCCUGCUUUUGUGGGGUGCUCGAGUGGCGAACGGGUGAGUAACACGUGAGUAACCUGCCCUUGACUUUGGGAUAACUUCAGGAAACUGGGGCUAAUACCGGAUAGGAGCUCCUGCUGCAUGGUGGGGGUUGGAAAGUUUCGGCGGUUGGGGAUGGAUUAGCGGCUUAUCAGCUUGUUGGUGGGGUAGUGGCUUACCAAGGCUUUGACGGGUAGCCGGCCUGAGAGGGUGACCGGCGACCUUGGGACUGAGAUACGGCGCAGACUCCUACGGGAGGCAGCAGUGGGGAAUAUUGCGCAGUGGGCCGAAGCCUGAUGCAGCAACGCCGCGUGCGUGAUGACGGCCUUCGGGUUGUAAACCGCUUUCGCCUGUGACGAAGCGUGAGUGACGGUAAUGGGUAAAGAAGCACCGGCUAACUACGUG